UACGUAGGGGGCAAGCGUUGUCCGGAAUCAUUGGGCGUAAAGAGCGUGUAGGCGGCCAGAUAAGUCCGCUGUGAAAUCUCGAGGCUCAACUUCGAGCUGUCGGUGGAAACUGUCUGGCUAGAGUCCGGAAGAGGCGAGUGGAAUUCCUGGUGUAGCGGUGAAAUGCGCAGAUAUCAGGAGGAACACCAAUGGCGAAGGCAGCUCGCUGGGACGGUACUGACGCUGAGGCGCGAAAGCGUGGGAGCAAACAGG
RNAcentral lists this ribosomal RNA (252 nucleotides) under uncultured bacterium. RNAcentral describes it as "partial 16S ribosomal RNA". It matches the Rfam family "Bacterial small subunit ribosomal RNA", at positions 524 to 776 of the family's 1533-position model. The record is from RNAcentral.